AUCCGCAGUGUAUUUCCUCGCAUCUACCAUCCCUUUUCUACGCCUCUCUCCCUCUCUCUCUUUCUCCAUCAAAUCUUGUUUUGUUCAAACUCUCUCUCUCUCAUCUAUUCUCUCCAUACAAUACAUGAAUAUACAUACAUACCAUCAUCUUCUUUUCCCAUCUCUAGUUUUUCAUCAAUCUUCUGAUGUUCCAAACGCUCUAUCUCUUCAUAUACAUACAUACGAAUAUAUUAUUGUUGUCAUAGAUCCAUUUAGAAUCACUUUAGCUUUUAGAUGAGAUCUAGGGUUUCUUUGUUUUCUUUCAAAUUUUGUUGCAUAUUCUUCUAAAUCAUGGUUUUUCGCUUGCUAGGUUAUAGAUCCAUGCAAAUAUGGAGUAGAUGUACAAACACACGCUCGGACGC
This 401-nucleotide unclassified non-coding RNA is filed under the name Arabidopsis thaliana (thale cress). RNAcentral's name for it is "partial MIR319a microRNA precursor". Lineage: Eukaryota; Viridiplantae; Streptophyta; Magnoliopsida; Brassicales; Brassicaceae. The record is from RNAcentral.